UACGUAGGGUGCAAGCGUUAAUCGGAAUUACUGGGCGUAAAGCGUGCGCAGGCGGUUUUGUAAGUCUGACGUGAAAUCCCCGGGCUCAACCUGGGAAUUGCGUAGGAGACUGCAAGGCUAGAAUCUGGCAGAGGGGGGUAGAAUUCCACGUGUAGGAGUGAAAUGCGUAGAGAUGUGGAGGAACACCGAUGGCGAAGGCAGCCCCCUGGGUCAAGAUUGACGCUCAUGCACGAAAGCGUGGGGAGCAAACAGG
This 253-nucleotide ribosomal RNA is filed under the name uncultured bacterium. RNAcentral describes it as "partial 16S ribosomal RNA". It matches the Rfam family "Bacterial small subunit ribosomal RNA", at positions 524 to 776 of the family's 1533-position model. The record is from RNAcentral.